Molecule: small RNA, 536 nt
Filed under: Pan troglodytes (chimpanzee)
Lineage: Eukaryota; Metazoa; Chordata; Mammalia; Primates; Hominidae
Description: processed transcript
Source: RNAcentral
GGCUGAAAUCUCCUGAGGGGCCCACCUCGGCAUGGACCUGCCAGCUACCGGAGCCUUCCGCCUCCACCUGUCCCCUCCUACAGAGGCCAGCACUGUGACACAUGGUCUUAUGUGCUGAUACCGGCAGCCCAGCACGGGCAGUUCACUGUGGACCACGGUGUGGACACACGAGCAGGCUGGCCGUCCUCAGGAUCAGCCUGCUUGGCAGGAGCUGGUUGCUGCCUCCCGGGACGCUGGACCAGUUCAUCUGCCUGGGCAGAGCUCAGGGCCUCUCGGAUGACAACAUUGUCUUCCCAGAUGUGACUGGAGGUGCCCUGGACCUCAGCAGCCUGCCCUGGGUGGCAGCCCCAGCCUGACCACUCAGACAGCCGCGGCCCCCAAGGCCUGACUCUUCUUGUGGGAGGGCGAGGCUGGUCACCCCAGGCCAGCGUCUGUUGAAGGAUGAAGCAGCUCCUGUCCGGCCCAGCCCUGCCUCACAGCUGCGCGAGCUCUGCCCUCCUCAGCUCUCAAACCUGAAUAAAUGCACCAAGCCCAGA